Molecule: ribosomal RNA, 301 nt
Filed under: uncultured bacterium
Lineage: Bacteria
Description: partial 16S ribosomal RNA
Rfam family: Bacterial small subunit ribosomal RNA
Source: RNAcentral
CAGCCGCCGCGGGAAUACAGAGGGUGCGAGCGUUAAUCGGAUUUACUGGGCGUAAAGCGCGCGUAGGUGGUUUGUUAAGUUGGAUGUGAAAGCCCCGGGCUCAACCUGGGAACUGCAUCCAAAACUGGCAAGCUAGAGUACGGUAGAGGGUGGUGGAAUUUCCUGUGUAGCGGUGAAAUGCGUAGAUAUAGGAAGGAACACCAGUGGCGAAGGCGACCACCUGGACUGAUACUGACACUGAGGUGCGAAAGCGUGGGGAGCAAACAGGAUUAGAUACCCCAGUAGUCCCUGUCUCUUAUAC